UAGGGAAUCUUCCGCAAUGGACGCAAGUCUGACGGAGCAACGCCGCGUGAGUGAAGAAGGAUUUCGGUUCGUAAAACUCUGUUGUUAGAGAAGAACAGCGCAUAGAGUAACUGUUAUGCGUGUGACGGUAUCUAACCAGAAAGCCACGGCUAACUACGUGCCAGCAGCCGCGGUAAUACGUAGGUGGCAAGCGUUGUCCGGAGUUAUUGGGCGUAAAGCGAGCGCAGGCGGUCAAUUAAGUCUGAUGUGAAAGCCCCCGGCUCAACCGGGGAGGGUCAUUGGAAACUGGUUGACUUGAGUGCAGAAGAGGAGAGUGGAAUUCCAUGUGUAGCGGUGAAAUGCGUAGAUAUAUGGAGGAACACCAGUGGCGAAGGCGACUCUCUGGUCUGUAACUGACGCUGAGGUUCGAAAGCGUGGGUAGCAAACAGG
RNAcentral lists this ribosomal RNA (429 nucleotides) under Bacteroidota bacterium. RNAcentral describes it as "Bacteroidetes bacterium partial 16S ribosomal RNA". It matches the Rfam family "Bacterial small subunit ribosomal RNA", at positions 355 to 776 of the family's 1533-position model. The record is from RNAcentral. Lineage: Bacteria; Pseudomonadati; Bacteroidota.